AAGAAUUCGCGUUUUUAACGUCUACAUUUACCGACUGCUCAUAAAUUAGUCGGUAAAAAGAGAUUUACCGACCGCAAUAUAGAUAGUCGGGAAAAAAAUAUUUAGCGACCGCCCUAGCAGUCGGUAAAAUAUUAUUUACCGACCGCAAAAUAAAUAGUCGGUAAAAAGUCAUUUACCGACCACACUUUCAGUCGGUAGCGAAACUAAUUUUCCAAAAAUAAAUUCCCGACUGCCUCACAUACCCUCACCCACCCUAAAGCCUAAACAAAACCCUUAAGCUCAUUUGAAACCCGCCUCUUUCUCUCACCUCCUCUCUUUCUCUUUAUCUCUCUUUCUCUCACCGGUUGUUCGAUCUCUUUCUCUGUCUCCCCCUUCACCUCCCCCUCUCCCCCACUCUUUUUCCUGUUAAAAAUCAACAUCAACGCAACAACAUCAACAACAUCAACGCAUCAACACAACAACAUCAACGCAUCAAGCUAGGCUUCAAUUUUGGAUCGAUUAUACUGAAUUUGCUCUAGUUUAGAUUUCCAGAUCUAGUAUUAUGGUGAAUAACUCAAGAGAACAAAGGAAUUGAAGUAAGAAGGGAGCAUAAGAAGCGUCGGAACUUACAGGAUUUCGUCGUUCUGGUCCACUUUGUUUGAAUUAGUUUGGUGAAUUUUCAAUUUUCAGAUCUACUCUAUUAGCAUAUUUGGUAUGUAAUUAUUUGAAUUUUUAUUUUUAUUGUUGGGUUGCAUUUAUUUAACCCCUUUUCCUAAAUUCAUUAAUUUUUCUUUUUAUAUGUAUAUAUUAAUUCAUCCCCUUUUUUUAUUUUCUGGAAAAUUGUUCAUCUUGUGAUUUUGAUAUGAA
Molecule: long non-coding RNA, 846 nt
Organism: Spinacia oleracea (spinach)
Lineage: Eukaryota; Viridiplantae; Streptophyta; Magnoliopsida; Caryophyllales; Amaranthaceae
Exons: 2
Source: RefSeq, a predicted model, not a curated record